CAAUAGCGUAUAUUAAAGUUGUUGCGGUUAAAAAGCUCGUAGUUGGAUUUCUGCUUGGGGCAACCGGUCCGCCCUCUGGGUGAGUAUCUGGCUUGGCCCGGGCAUCUUCUUGGGGAACGUUACUGCACUUGACUGUGUGGUGCGGAGCCCAGGGCCUUUACUUUGAGGAAAUUAGAGUGUUUAAAGCAGGCCUUUGCCUUGAAUACAUUAGCAUGGAAUAAUAAGAUAGGACCGUUGUCUAUUUUGUUGGUUUACAGAUGUCGGUAAUGAUUAAUAGGGAUAGUUGGGGGUAUUCGUAUUCAGUUGUCAGAGGUGAAAUUCUUGGAUUUUCGGAAGACGCACGACUGCGAAAGCAUUUACCAAGGAUGUUUUCAUUAA
Molecule: ribosomal RNA, 378 nt
Filed under: uncultured eukaryote
Lineage: Eukaryota
Description: partial 18S ribosomal RNA
Rfam family: Eukaryotic small subunit ribosomal RNA
Source: RNAcentral